This 484-nucleotide ribosomal RNA is filed under the name uncultured bacterium. RNAcentral's name for it is "partial 16S ribosomal RNA". It matches the Rfam family "Bacterial small subunit ribosomal RNA", at positions 29 to 507 of the family's 1533-position model. The record is from RNAcentral.
AUUGAACGCUGGCGGAAUGCCUUACACAUGCAAGUCGAACGGCAGCACGGUGGCAGCUCUCGUGGAGAGGGGCGAACGGGUGAGUAAUACAUCGGUACGUGCCCGGCCGCGUGGGCUAACGUAGUGAAAGUUACGCUAAUACCCUAUACGAGCUGAGGAUGAAAGCGGGGGACCAUCGGGCCUCGCGCGCUCGCACGGGCCGAUGUCCGAUUAGGUAGUUGGCGGGGUAAAGGCCUACCAAGCCGACGAUCUGUAGCUGGUCUGAGAGGACGAGCAGCCACACUGGAACUGAGACACGGCCCAGACUCCUACGGGAGGCAGCAGUGGGGAAUUUUGGACAAUGGGCGCAAGCCUGAUCCAGCCAUUCCGCGUGCGGGACGAAGGCCUUCGGGUUGUAAAGUGCUUUUGUACGGAACGAAAAGGCGCUGGCUAAUACCUGGGGCUCAUGACGGUACCGUAAGAAUAAGCACCGGCUAACUACGUG